AUACAUGCAGUCGAGCGGACCGACGGGAGCUUGCUCCCUUAGGUCAGCGGCGGACGGGUGAGUAACACGUGGGUAACCUGCCUGUAAGACUGGGAUAACUCCGGGAAACCGGGGCUAAUACCGGAUGCUUGAUUGAACCGCAUGGUUCAAUCAUAAAAGGUGGCUUUUAGCUACCACUUGCAGAUGGACCCGCGGCGCAUUAGCUAGUUGGUGAGGUAACGGCUCACCAAGGCGACGAUGCGUAGCCGACCUGAGAGGGUGAUCGGCCACACUGGGACUGAGACACGGCCCAGACUCCUACGGGAGGCAGCAGUAGGGAAUCUUCCGCAAUGGACGAAAGUCUGACGGAGCAACGCCGCGUGAGUGAUGAAGGUUUUCGGAUCGUAAAACUCUGUUGUUAGGGAAGAACAAGUACCGUUCGAAUAGGGCGGCACCUUGACGGUACCUAACCAGAAAGCCACGGCUAACUACGUGCCAGCAGCCGCGGUAAUACGUAGGUGGCAAGCGUUGUCCGGAAUUAUUGGGCGUAAAGCGCGCGCAGGCGGUUUCUUAAGUCUGAUGUGAAAGCCCCCGGCUCAACCGGGGAGGGUCAUUGGAAACUGGGGAACUUGAGUGCAGAAGAGGAGAGUGGAAUUCCACGUGUAGCGGUGAAAUGCGUAGAGAUGUGGAGGAACACCAGUGGCGAAGGCGACUCUCUGGUCUGUAACUGACGCUGAGGCGCGAAAGCGUGGGGAGCGAACAGGAUUAGAUACCCUGGUAGUCCACGCCGUAAACGAUGAGUGCUAAGUGUUAGAGGGUUUCCGCCCUUUAGUGCUGCAGCAAACGCAUUAAGCACUCCGCCUGGGGAGUACGGUCGCAAGACUGAAACUCAAAGGAAUUGACGGNGGCCCGCACAAGCGGUGGAGCAUGUGGUUUAAUUCGAAGCAACGCGAAGAACCUUACCAGGUCUUGACAUCCUCUGACAACCCUAGAGAUAGGGCUUCCCCUUCCGGGGCAGAAUGACAGGUGGUGCAUGGUUGCCGUCAGCUCCUGGC
Molecule: ribosomal RNA, 1034 nt
Filed under: Bacillus licheniformis
Lineage: Bacteria; Bacillati; Bacillota; Bacilli; Caryophanales; Bacillaceae
Description: bacterial SSU rRNA
Rfam family: Bacterial small subunit ribosomal RNA
Source: RNAcentral